CCUACGGGAGGCAGCAGUAGGGAAUCUUCCACAAUGGGCGCAAGCCUGAUGGAGCAACACCGCGUGAGUGAAGAAGGGUUUCGGCUCGUAAAGCCCUGUUGUUGGAGAAGAGUGUGCGCGAGAGUAACUGUUCACGCAGUGACGGUAUCCAACCAGAAAGUCACGGCUAACUACGUGCCCGCAGCAGCGGUAAUACGUAGGGGGCAAGCGUUACCCGGAAUUAUUGGGCGUAAAGCGAGCGCAGGCGGUUGCUUAGGUCUGAUGUGAAAGCCUUCGGCUUAACCGAAGAAGUGCAUCGGAAACCGGGCGACUUGAGUGCAGAAGAGGAUAGUGGAACUCCAUGUGUAGCGGUGGAAUGCGUAGAUAUAUGGAAGAACACCAGUGGCGAAGGCGGCUGUCUGGUCUGUAACGGACGCUGAGGCUCGAAAGCAUGGGUAGCGAACAGGAUUAGAUACCCCGGUAGUC
This 465-nucleotide ribosomal RNA is filed under the name uncultured bacterium. RNAcentral's name for it is "partial 16S ribosomal RNA". It matches the Rfam family "Bacterial small subunit ribosomal RNA", at positions 338 to 795 of the family's 1533-position model. The record is from RNAcentral.